AAAUCCAACAAAGUCUGGCUU
This 21-nucleotide unclassified non-coding RNA is filed under the name synthetic construct. The record is from RNAcentral.